AUUUAUCCAUUUCCCCAUGAUUUACACUGUAAAAGGUAUUUAUCCUUUAGUUAUAUACACGCAUAUUGUAGAGAUUCUUUUUAUAAGUAGGCGGUGAUGACCUGUGCGAGCACGGGCCCAACAACAUAGGCUGUAACUUCUAUUCUUGAUCAAAUUUGUUUUGAUAUGACCUGCAGAACAGAAAAAAAUUGAUAGAUGUUAAAAAAUUGAUACAUGUAUGACGAUCAAAUCGGAUAAAGACGAUAUUGUACUAAUGGAUAUUAUGUACAUACAUAAAGCACAAAAUGUCUAUUGUUGGAUUUUGCUGGAUAUUAUUUACAUACAUAAAACAGGAUGUUCAUUGUUGGGUGUAACGUCAAUGUCGACUCAUUACAUUCUGGGGUUGAAGAAGGUCCCAGCCACCAUGUUGUAGUUAGGCUCCUUUCUUGCCUGCCUCUGACAAAAAUAUUUGUAUUUGUAGGGAUUAUUUGUUAAUCUAGUCUAGCCAAUCUCAUUCUUUCACAAUGGAAUUAGUAGAGAAAAGGGAUAAAAGAAGACAACUAAUUUCAUGGUCGUACUUAACAUACCUUUCUAAACAUGGUUUGUCAUAGAUCCCUGUUCGUGCUUCGCUGUAGCUUGCAAAAAGCUAUAGGCUCAAACUUAGCUUGCCCAGUAAAAAGAGAUGUGAGUACGCACGACUACUCCACAAAGCUACAUAACUUGCAAUAAAU
RNAcentral lists this long non-coding RNA (710 nucleotides) under Nicotiana tabacum (common tobacco). Its description in RNAcentral is "long non-coding RNA (NTAB_LNC010692)". Lineage: Eukaryota; Viridiplantae; Streptophyta; Magnoliopsida; Solanales; Solanaceae. The record is from RNAcentral.